This is a long non-coding RNA of Mobula hypostoma (lesser devil ray), 359 nucleotides long. RefSeq lists it as uncharacterized. NCBI's taxonomy places the organism in Eukaryota, Metazoa, Chordata, Chondrichthyes, Myliobatiformes, Myliobatidae. The record is from RefSeq and is a predicted model, not a curated record. The transcript is spliced from 3 exons.
GAGGAGGAAGACAAUCCCUCUAAAACCGGCGCUUCUACCGCCACAAAUGGACGCCCGCCUUCCCCCGUUGCCGACCGUGGACGCCCAUGGAAUCAAUCGCAGUGCUGAAACGUAUGAUAGUGAAAUCUGUUGCCAAAUGCUUACAACAGGAAUUCUGCAGAUGCUGGAAAUUCAAGCAACACAAACAAAGUUGCUGGCGAACGCAGCAGGCCAGGCAGCAUCUCUAGGAAGAGGUGCAGUUGACGUUUCAGGCUGAGACCCUUCGUCAGGACUAACUGAAGCAAGAGGCCAGAUUUGGCAGGUUUCCAGAAAUCUGCUUGUGGAAAAGGAACUGUAGCUCAGCCACAAUGUCUCUGGAG